GAUGAAGAACGUAGCGAAAUGCGAUAAGUAAUGCGAAUUGCAGAAUCCGUGAGUCAUCGAAUCUUUGAACUCACAUUGCGCCCUCUGGUGUUCCGGAGGGCAUGCCUGUUCGAGCGUCAUUAUCACCCCUCAAGCCCGGCUUGUUGUUGGAUGCAGCGCUUAUCCCGCUCCUCCCAAAGAUAAUGACGGCGUCUGCGACGACUCCUGUACACUGAGCUUUCGGGCACGUACACGGCUAGAAGUCCAGACCCGGUCGCCGUCCCCCCCGCGGGGACACCCAUUACCACAAGGUUGACCUCGGAUCAGGUAGGAAUACCCGCUGAACUUAAGCAUAUCAAUAAGCGGAGGA
RNAcentral lists this unclassified non-coding RNA (349 nucleotides) under soil metagenome. RNAcentral's name for it is "partial contains 5.8S ribosomal RNA, internal transcribed spacer 2, and large subunit ribosomal RNA". The stretch from base 1 to 119 matches the Rfam family "5.8S ribosomal RNA", at positions 35 to 154 of the family's 154-position model. The record is from RNAcentral.